AUGAAACAGUGCAUAUCGCGCAGCUUUAACUGUAAUCUGCUCAGUGUGGUAAUCGAUCAGCGACUCAGAAUUGACACCUGUCGAUAUCUAAUCGAGAUACUAUCGCGCCGCAUCUCUGGCGAUCUACGGUAAAACCGCAACUAAUUUCUGAAGUGUCGUCAUAAGCCAGCCCCCCCUUCAACAAUCGGGCAGUACCUAUAUAUAAUCAUAUACAAAUAUAUGUAUUUGGUUAGACCUGUUCCCACAUCUAUGGAGUUUCAUCUAGACAGUGCAGAAUACUGCCAGGC
RNA transcript from Drosophila persimilis, 287 nucleotides. RefSeq lists it as uncharacterized. The transcript is spliced from 2 exons. NCBI's taxonomy places the organism in Eukaryota, Metazoa, Arthropoda, Insecta, Diptera, Drosophilidae. The record is from RefSeq and is a predicted model, not a curated record.